UCCUCAUUCCACUCAACCACGGAAUAUUUAGCAAUUUAUGCAAAAUAACCUCCGAAAUAUUGCGACAGUCUAAUCACUUUGAAAAUGGCAGCGUCACACAUUCAACCAAUCAAAUUUGAGAGCUACAGAUUUUGGAACUUCGACCAAUCGCGUGAAAGUACGAAGACGGCCGAAAAUUCUAGUCUUGUAUUUAUCUUUCGUAAAUAUGCUGUUAUUAUCUCGUUUGUUUAAAUUUUCUGCUAUUAGAAACUAAUUCAUAAUUCAUAGCUGUUUUUUUAAAACAAAUACUAAGAUUGUAAUAAUUUAAAAUUGAUUACGGAGUCACCCGAACUCUAUCUACAGUCACUUCCGCUUCCAUAUUUUGAAAUCGUCGAUCUGUGAACAUUGUGAGGAAAGGAAAGCAAAACAAUGGGAGAAACACGUGGAGAGUAUACAAUCUAUUUUGUGGACAACUUGUUAAAGGCUCCUAGAGUAUUCUUAUGGGGUAUGCGACGUGUAUAACACUGGAAGAAGCAGUCCUACCAAACUUGAAAAGCCACGAGGUCGAGUGGUAAUGGCGCGCCCGUGCCGAUGAAUUUGCACGUUGUUUUCACAAUCGGUUUUCCCAACUGCCGACUAUUCCUUGUCAGAUAAUCCUAAAAAUCCGGGAGAUAUAGCAUAGCCUAUCUAACUUUGAAGUUUGAGGAAGCAGACUGACUUUGAAGACGACAAUGAUGUUGAUUGAAUAAUACCAGGAUGCAGCAUUGCAGAAAGUAAUGACGGUAUCUGACAUGUCUUAUGCCAAUCAAUUCCUCCAGAAGAUGACACAAACUUUAAAUUAUGGAAGUUGCGAGCAAGAAUUUUUCAAGGGAAUGUCAGAUGGAGAAGAAACAUCAGUCAACAAGACAGUACUAGUGUAAAAUGAUAAAGUAUCUGUAAUAGGUGCUUACCAUAUUCUGCCUAUUGUGGAUUCAGUGAUGGUUUUUCAAACGAACUAUGCUCAUCAACCAAAUGUCCUUAAAAUUUGUGGAGUGCAGAGCCACUUUCAGGCGAGACAGUAGUGUGGUUCAUUUUAGUGGACAUGAUUUUAGACGAGAUGUGCUUUGUGAAACUUGAAACAUUGUUCAUUCAUCAUAGUGUAAUGAGAACUGUUGUGGUCCAUCAUUCUAUGCUUUAGUGAAGUAAUGGAUAUAAUGUGAAGUACAUGUGUAAAUGCUCAUAUUCUGCACAACAUAUUUUUCAGUGACAUUAUUUCUUUGAGACCAAGCUCUGGACAGUUGAUAGCCAUUUAUGUGUAGGACUUUAUUUUUCUGUGUGUGCAAUAGCAACUGUCACUUGCAGUAAACCCAAACAAAGUGGAGAAAUAAUUUGUUGAGUUCAGAGAUUACAAUUUUUAUUGUGUUAUUUUGAUGAGAAGAUAGUAUUAAUAAGGUACAAUGGUACAUUGUAUCUUAUUGAAAAGCUUAUUUAAGAGUUAUCAGUAGAAUUAGACUGCAUGACAAUUAUUAGAAUGGGAAACCUAGAUGAAGUCAAAAGAAACUAUACUGUAUUUUACAGACUGUCCUGGAAAUAUCAUGCAAUAAAUAAUGUCUCCAGUGUUA
Ostrea edulis (European flat oyster) is the source of this 1580-nucleotide long non-coding RNA. RefSeq lists it as uncharacterized. The record is from RefSeq and is a predicted model, not a curated record. The transcript is spliced from 3 exons. Lineage: Eukaryota; Metazoa; Mollusca; Bivalvia; Ostreida; Ostreidae.